AGCAGCCGCGGUAAUUCCAGCUCCAAUAGCGUAUAUUAAAGUUGCUGCAGUUAAAAGCUCGUAGUUGAAUUUCGGGACCAUCAUGUUGGUCGUGCCUCGGUACGUACUGGCAUUGUUGGUUUCUCCCUUCUGACGAACCAUGAUGUCAUUUAUUUGGUGUCGUGGGAAAUCAGGACUGUUACUUUGAAAAAUUAGAGUGUUUAAAGCAGGCUCACGCUUGAAUACAUUAGCAUGGAAUAAUGAAAUAGGACGUUUGAUUCUAUUUUGUUGGUUUCUAGGAUCGACGUAAUGAUUAAUAGGGAUAGUUGGGGGCAUUAGUAUUCAAUUGUCAGAGGUGAAAUUCUUGGAUUUAUUGAAGACUAACUACUGCGAAAGCAUUUGCCAAGGAUGUUUUCAUUAAUCAAGAACGAAAGUUAGGGGAUCGAAGACGAUCAGAUACCGUCGUAGUCUUAACCAUAAACUAUAGCCGACUAGGGAUCGGAUGAUGUUAAUUUUUAAUGACUC
RNAcentral lists this unclassified non-coding RNA (504 nucleotides) under uncultured Glomus. RNAcentral's name for it is "SSU rRNA". It matches the Rfam family "Eukaryotic small subunit ribosomal RNA", at positions 569 to 1077 of the family's 1831-position model. The record is from RNAcentral. Lineage: Eukaryota; Fungi; Glomeromycota; Glomeromycetes; Glomerales; Glomeraceae.